AUAAGAGGUCCAGCCUGCCCAGUGACACUGUUCAACGGCCGCGGUAUCCUAACCGUGCGAAGGUAGCGUAAUCACUUGUCCUUUAAAUGGGGACUAGUAUGAACGGCACCACGAGGGUUAUACUGUCUCCUUUUUCUAAUCAGUGAAUCUAAUCUCCCCGUGAAGAAGCGGGGUUACAGCUAUAAGACGAGAAGACCCUAUGGAGCUUUAAACAAAACAACAUUCGCUAAGUCACACACGAAUCUCAGGAAAUAACUCUUAUUUUAGCCCUAUGAUUGUUAGUUUUAGGUUGGGGUGACCGCGGAGUAAAAAACAACCUCCACAAUGAAUAGGGCCCUCCCUUAAGCAAAAAGCCACAACUUUACGCAUCAACAAAUUGACAUUAAUUGACCCAAUAUUUUGAUCAACGAAACAAGUUACCCUAGGGAUAACAGCGCAAUCCACUUCAAGAGCCCGUAUCGACAAGUGGGUUUACGACCUCGAUGUUGGAUCAGGG
Molecule: ribosomal RNA, 496 nt
Filed under: Gastrotheca sp. A DCB-2013
Lineage: Eukaryota; Metazoa; Chordata; Amphibia; Anura; Hemiphractidae
Description: partial 16S ribosomal RNA
Rfam family: Bacterial large subunit ribosomal RNA
Source: RNAcentral